Molecule: ribosomal RNA, 751 nt
Filed under: uncultured bacterium
Lineage: Bacteria
Description: bacterial SSU rRNA
Rfam family: Bacterial small subunit ribosomal RNA
Source: RNAcentral
ACGCUGGCGGCAGGCCUAACACAUGCAAGUCGAGCGGUAACACAGGAGAGCUUGCUCUCUGGAUGACGAGCGGCGGACGGGUGAGUAAUGUCUGGGAAACUGCCUGAUGGAGGGGGAUAACUACUGGAAACGGUAGCUAAUACCGCAUGAUGUCGCAAGACCAAAGUGCGGGACCUUCGGCCUCACGCCAUCGGAUGUGCCCAGAUGGGAUUAGCUAGUAGGUGAGGUAAUGGCUCACCUAGGCGACGAUCCCUAGCUGGUCUGAGAGGAUGACCAGCCACACUGGAACUGAGACACGGUCCAGACUCCUACGGGAGGCAGCAGUGGGGAAUAUUGCACAAUGGGGCGCAAGCCUGAUGCAGCCAUGCCGCGUGUGUGAAGAAGGCCUUCGGGUUGUAAAGCACUUUCAGCGAGGAGGAAGGCGUGGUAGUUAAUAACUGCAGCGAUUGACGUUACUCGCAGAAGAAGCACCGGCUAACUCCGUGCCAGCAGCCGCGGUAAUACGGAGGGUGCAAGCGUUAAUCGGAAUUACUGGGCGUAAAGCGCACGCAGGCGGUUUGUUAAGUCAGAUGUGAAAUCCCCGAGCUUAACUUGGGAACUGCAUUUGAAACUGGCAAGCUAGAGUCUUGUAGAGGGGGGUAGAAUUCCAGGUGUAGCGGUGAAAUGCGUAGAGAUCUGGAGGAAUACCGGUGGCGAAGGCGGCCCCCUGGACAAAGACUGACGCUCAGGUGCGAAAGCGUGGGGAGCAAAC